AGGGUUUGAUCAUGGCUCAGAUUGAACGCUGGCGGUAAGCCUUAAACAUGCAAGUCGUGCGGUAACAGACAUAAAGAUUUAGCUUGCUAAAUCCGGUGCUGACGAGCGGCGAACGGGUGAGUAACACGUAGGAAUCUACCCAGUAGCGGGGGAUAGCCCAGGGAAACUUGGAUUAAUACCGCAUAAGCCCUAUGGGGGAAAGAAGGCCUCUCUUUGAAGCUUUCACUAUUGGAUGAGCCUGCGUAAGAUUAGCUUGUUGGUGGGGUAAAAGCCUACCAAGGCAACGAUCUUUAGCUGGUCUGAGAGGACGAUCAGCCACAUUGGGACUGAGACACGGCCCAGACUUCUACGGAAGGCAGCAGUUAGGAAUAUUGGACAAUGGGGGCAACCCUGAUCCAGCUAUACCGCGUGUGUGAAGAAGGCCCUAGGGUUGUAAAGCACUUUAAGCAGGGAAGAAGUAUAGUAAGUUAAUAUCUUACUAUAUUGACGUUACCUGAAGAAUAAGGACCGGCUAACUCCGUGCCAGCAGCCGCGGUAAUACGGAGGGUCCAAGCGUUAAUCG
RNAcentral lists this ribosomal RNA (562 nucleotides) under uncultured bacterium. Its description in RNAcentral is "bacterial SSU rRNA". It matches the Rfam family "Bacterial small subunit ribosomal RNA", at positions 8 to 547 of the family's 1533-position model. The record is from RNAcentral.